AAAGAAAAAAAGGAAUAAUAGUUACGCAACCGAAGAAGAUACGAUCAGGAUCAACUACUUCCCUUCGAAGGGUUUUUGCAUUUUCUUUUGUAAUUUCAACGACUUUGGACGCAAUUUUCCUACUUAUACUUACCUUCCCCGAUGAACUUUUAUGUGGAUGACGUUCAUUUCUCUUUACGCUGAUCGUGGUUCUGAAAUUUGGUGAAUAGACCCAACUUUUGGGAGGCCGGAGGGGCAAAGAGGACAAUCUCAGUGUUGAAAUUCACCGUUCCAGGAGGAUUGAAUGAUCGAGACGGCACGAAUUGGAGGAUUCAAUCUUAGGGUUUCGGAUUUCUUGUGGAGUAGUUGUUGGCUGGAGUUGAAACCUGGGGAGUGCAACCUCUCGGCUACGGCGCUGUUUCUGUUGCGCUGACUGGCUGGUGCCAUAUUGGCGCUCCCGGAGAAUGGACGAUAUGGAUAUUGGUUCCCCUUCUGAAUCUGCGCCACUUAAGCCGCGUGAUCGAAUUCUGCGGCGGCUUGCUGUACUUGGAGUUCCUGAUGAGCUAUUGGAUCAACUUUUUCGUGGUUUAGUUUCUUUUGUCAAGGACAACAAGUUUCUUAUACCGCAGCUGGUAACUGCAAUUUUGCCUGCCGAUGUCGAAGUGGUAGAAGUUAUACGUGAUGCUAAAGCAGGGUCCAAAAAGUCUCUGACAGGCCCAACCAUGAAAGCUCAAUUCCGUGAAAGCAUGAUGUGGUUACAGUGGUUGAUGUUUGAAGGCGAACCAGCAUAUGCUCUGAAGAAUCUGUCAAAAAUGAGUGUUGGCCAGCGUGGUGUAUGUGGCGCUGUUUGGGGACAUAACGAUAUAGCUUAUAGGUGCCGAACUUGUGAACACGAUCCAACUUGUGCAAUUUGCGUCCCUUGCUUUCAGAGUGGAAACCACCAGGACCACGAUUACUCCAUAAUUUAUACUGGAGGUGGUUGCUGCGAUUGUGGUGAUGCGACGGCGUGGAAGCGGGAGGGGUUUUGCUCAAAGCAUAAAGGUGCAGAACAGAUACAACCACUUCCAGAAGAACUUGUUAAAUCUGUAGGGCCUAUACUUGAUGCACUCUUCACUUCUUGGAAAAACAAACUCUUAUCUGCAGAAGAUAUUAGCGUGGAAGACCCUAAAUUGAGUGACCGUGUUACAGAGCAUAAAAAGGUUGCAAACGAGUUAACAUUUGCUGUGGUUGAGAUGCUUUUAGAUUUCUGCAAGUACAGUGAAAGCUUACUCAGCUUUGUUUCAAAAAGGGUGAUUUCUUCAGCUGGCUUAUUGGAUAUUUUGGUGAGGUUAGAGAGGCUGUUAACUGAUAGCGUAGUGAAGAAAGUCCAUGAGUUACUUCUUAAGUUGCUGGGAGAACCUAUAUUUAAAUAUGAAUUUGCAAAAGUUUUUUUGAAUUAUUAUCCUACUGUUAUCAACGAAGCGAUAGAAGACAGUAGUGACCAUGUGCUUAAAAAGUAUCCACUAUUGCCAACUUUCUCAGUGCAAAUAUUCACUGUUCCAACACUUACUCCUCGUUUGGUAGUGGAAAUGAACUUAUUGUCCAUCCUCUUGGGAUGUUUAGAAGAUAUUUUCAUUUCUUGCGUAAGCGAAGAUGGUCGCUUGCAGGUUGUAAAGUGGAGUAAUUUGUAUGAAACCACCAUCCGUGUAGUUGAAGAUGUUAGAUUUGUCAUGAGCCAUGCUGUAGUGCCCAGAUAUGUAAUCUAUGAGCAGCAGGAUAUCCUAAGAACUUGGUUGAGACUGCUGACUUUUGUGCAAGGAAUGGAUCCCCAGAAGAGAGAAACAGGCCUCCACAUAGAAGAAGAAAAUGAAAAUGUUCAUUUGCCUUUUGGUUUAGAUCAUUCCGUUGCUAACAUUCAUUCCUUAUUGGUGAAGGAAGCAUUUUCUGCUGCUAGUAGUAGUUGUGAAGAUGCAGCUGAUGCAAUGUAUUUCCAAACGUACAAGCAGAACGUAGAUGAUAUAGAUAGUGUUAGACAUGCUAAAGUAGGACGUCUAUCACAGGAAAGUGCUGCGUGUAAUGUAUUGGGAAAGAAUAGUACAUCCACAUCUGCAUCAAGAGUUGAUGAAGUUUGUUCAGAUGCAAUUUCAUCAACUAUUAUGUGGCUGACUUACGAGUGCUUGAAGAUUAUUGAUAGUUGGUUGGGAACUGAAAAUGUAUCUGGAAGCAUUCCAAACAUGCUUGAUGAGAGCAUUAGUCUGACACCUAGUUGCAAAUUUUAUUCAUCAAGAAAAAUGUCUGCCCUGGAAUCGAAGAAAAUUCCAUACAAGAUGGAAAAGGGUAAAUUUGUUUUUGAGAAGCUUCCUAGAAGAAGCAAAUACCAUAAUAGGCAAUAUUCCUCACGUAUGUACGGUGGCCUUCAAAUGAGUAUUGACAAUGAGCAUGGUAUAGGUCUUGGAGAAGACCACCAGUUGAUGGAUGUGACCAAUGAUACAGUGACUGAUGAAGAUUAUGCCAUGGAGAUUGAUGCUCUCCAUUUUCUAAGCUUAUCUGCUUGGCCAAACAUUGUUUAUGAUGUUAGUUCACAGGACAUAUCUAUUCACAUUCCAUUACAUCGGCUGCUUUCCUUGCUUUUACAGAAGGCAUUGGGAAGCUGUUUUAAUGAAUCUGUGCUGCCAAGUGCAACAGGUGCUAGUUCCUCAAAUUUGUCAUCUGAAUAUGUGGACUUCUUUAAAAGUAUUCUUACAGACUGUCAUCCAUACGGUUUUUCUUCAUUUGUUAUGGAGCAUCCUCUACGCAUUAAAGUUUUUUGUGCUGAGGUUAAUGCUGGAAUGUGGCGGAGGAACGGAGAUGCUGCCCUAUUGUCAUGUGAGUUGUAUCGAUCAAUCCGGUGGUCAGAACAAUGUCUGGAGCUUGAUCUCUUUCUGUUGCAGUGUUGUGCGGCAAUGGCUCCACCUGAUCUUUAUGUCAGUAGAAUUAUAGAACGUUUCCGGCUAUCAGACUAUCUUUCCCUAAAUGUUGAACGCCCUAGUGAGUACGAGCCUAUUUUAGUGCAAGAGAUGCUCACAUUAAUCAUACAAGUAGUCAAUGAAAGGAGAUUUUGUGGACUUACAAUAGCCGAAAGCUUGAAAAGAGAGUUGAUUUACAAGUUGGCAAUUGGAGAUGCUACUCAUAGUCAAUUGGUAAAAGCACUCCCUCGUGAUCUUUGCAAGUGUCAUCAGCUGCAGGAAAUUUUAGAUACAAUUGCUGUCUAUUCCAAUCCCUCUGGAUUUAAUCAGGGGAUGUAUUCUUUGCAUUGGAAGUAUUGGAAAGAAUUGGAUCUGUACCACCCUCGUUGGAGUUUACGAGAUCUGCAGGUUGCUGAAGAACGAUAUUUGAGGUCAUGUGGUGUCUCUGCUUUGACCUCACAGCUACCUAAAUGGACAAAUAUCUAUCCUCCUUUUAGGGGAUUGGCAAGAAUAGCUACUUGUAAAACAGUCCUUCAGUUCAUUCGUGCUGUGCUGUUUUAUUCUGUUUUUGCUGAGAUAUCAACUAAAUCGCGGGCCCCAGAUAGUGUCCUGUUAAGUGCUCUGCACUUGCUAGCGUUGGCAUUGGACAUUUGCCUUCAGCAAAAGGAAUCAAGUGAUCAAUCAUUUUAUGCUCAAGAUUCUAUUCCUUUGCUUCUUUUUGCUGCCGAAGAAAUUGAUGAGGGUUUAGCAUAUGGUUUCGGCAGACAAAGCUUGUUAUCUCUUCUUGUUUUAUUAAUGAAAAUGCACAGGAAGGAAGGACGAGAGAACUUGUUGGAGGCUGGAAGUUGCAACCUAUCCUCUCUGGUUGAAAGCUUGUUGAAGAAAUUUUCAGAGAUUGAUUCUCAUUGCAUGGGCAAAGUCCAGCAACUUGCUCCUGAAAUCCUUGGUUACUUGUCUCAAUCUGUGCCUACUAGUAAUACUAAUAGACCGAGUGGAACUUCUGAUAGUGAGAAGCGGAAGGCAAAGGCUCGAGAGAGACAAGCUGCUAUAUUGGAAAAAAUGAGAGCCGAGCAAUCAAAAUUUUUGGCCAGUGUCGAUGCCUCUGUGAAUGAUGAUGAUGAUAGAGAAAUUGGGCAAGAAUCUGAGAAUCCCAAUGUUAGUGACAUUGCCGAACAGUCUGAAACUGUUUGCUCACUUUGCCAUGAUUCUAGUUCCAGUGUUCCCAUAUCUUUUCUGAUUCUUUUGCAGAAAUCAAAGCUCGUGAGUUUAAUUGAUCGAGGUCCCGUGUCAUGGGAUCAACCUUACUGGAGAGAUGAACAUGCCUCAACGGUGUCAAAAAGGGACCUUGAUCAAUCAGGACUAAGCCCCUCCUCUGCAGGUUCAGGAGUGAUUUCAUCGCCGCAGUUAGCAGAGCUCAUUCAGAAUGCAGUAAAAGAAUAUUCCAAUCAUGGACUACCUGGGGAAGUUGGCGCUUUCCUGGAAUUUGUCAAGUCUCAUUUUCCUCCCUUACGAGACAUUCAAGUGCCUGGUACAUCAAAUGUUAGAGGAGAAAAGAUAAUAUUCAGCUUUGAUAAGCUGGAAGAGGAUAUUUAUUUAUCUGUUCGAAAAGAAAUGCAUGAUACUCUGCAUUCUAAAUUCAACGAGGAUGAUAAAGCUUCUGAAGUUGCAAGUGGAGAAGAUUCCAAGUCUGUGCUGCAUGUAAAAUAUAUAGCUGCUCUAUCAAGAGAGCUGGCAGAAAAUCAUUCAACUUCUGAAAGCUCUCAUAACAUUCACACGCCAGUAGAAUCUUUGCAGCCUACCACAUUUAAUGAAAUUGGUCCUACAGAUUGUGAUGGAAUUUAUCUUUCUUCUUGUGGGCAUGCUGUGCAUCAAGGAUGUCUUGAUCGAUACUUAUCUUCAUUGAAGGAAAGGUUUGCUCGAAGAAUAGUAUUUGAAGGAGGGCAUAUUGUUGAUCCUGAGCAGGGAGAAUUCUUGUGCCCGGUGUGCAGACGUCUUGCAAAUUCCACUUUGCCUGCAUUUCCUAGGGAACUUCAAAAGAUUUGGAACCCGGCGACGAGUUCAGUUGGUAGUUCAUCACAUGUUUCAGGUCAUCUUAACAAAUCAAGUGAAAAAGUGAAUCCACUUUAUAUUCAGCAAGCAGUGGCUCUCCUGCAAUAUGCAGCUAAUGCUGUUGGGAAGAAUAAAGUUCUUAAAGAUAUUUCUGUACAUAGACAUAGGAAAGUGAGUCGCAAUCUCGAAGCUGUGUCCCUUGUUCUGUCUAAGUUGUAUUUUUCUGGGAAACAGGAUAAGUUAAUAAGCUCCUCCAGGGUUAAUCCAUCGAUUCUUAUGUGGGACACUCUCAAGUAUUCCCUCAUAUCAAUGGAAAUUGCUGCUCGUAGUAAGACUGAUAUGAAUCCCAAUAUUGGCAUUAAUACAUUGUAUAAGGAGCUAAAAAUUUCUGGUGGUUUUGUAUUGUCUUUAUUGCUAAAAGUGAUACAAAGCGUUAAGUGUGAGGAUUCUCUCCUUUUGCUUCAAAGAUUUUGUGGUAUUCAAAGGUUUGCAGAUUCCAUCUGCUCUGGAACGUCCAAUGAAAAUGCUAGUGACUCAUGUGGACGAGGUAUCCUCCACAUCUUGACCAGCCUUCAUGUGGAAUUGCCACAAUUUGAUAUCCAGUUCUUGAGCCGAGGAUCCGAUCCUGUUCUUGCUCAUGACCCAUUCGCAUCAUUGAUGUGGGUUAUGUUUUGCCUUCCUUUCCCCUUUUUAUCAUGCAGGGAAUCCCUGCUUUCCCUUGUGCAUAUCUUCUACCUAGUUUCUGUGGCCCAGGCUAUAAUCACAUCUUUCAUCAAGUCUCAAUGCAAGGUAGAUGGGUUGGGUUCUAGUGAUUGCUUGAUCGCUGAUAUUUGCAAAAUUAUGGGAGAAUCUGAAUGUGCUCGACUGUAUUUUGUUUCAAAUUACACAGAGCCGUCUUGUAAUGUUAAGGAUAUGAUACGUAGCUUGACUUUCCCUUAUCUUCGGAGAUGUGCACUACUUCUAAAACUACUAAGUUCUUCUGCACGAGUGCCAAUUUUUUAUGGAGAGACUGCUUUGGAAACAUAUCUUGCGGGUAACAAUAUAAUUGACAACAUCACAGUGGAACUCAACGAAAUUGAGAAGCUUGAGAAAAUGUUCGAGAUUCCUCCAUUGGAUACUGUUCUUAAGGAUGGAACCUCGCGGUUAUUUGUUUCGAAAUGGUUUUGUCAUUUUGAUAAAGAAUUUGAAUUUCAGAGGUCUAAAAUUAUAAAGCACUGCACACCUGCCGUUCCUUUUCAAUUAAUUCGUUUACCUCAUGUCUACCACGAUCUAUUGCAGAGAUACAUAAAAAAGCGAUGCCCUGACUGCAAACAUGUUAUUGAUGAUCCUGCAUUAUGUCUGCUAUGUGGUAGACUGUGCACACCAAGCUGGAAAUCAUGUUGCAGGGAAAGUGGAUGCCAAGCUCAUGCAAAUGUGUGCGCUGCUGGCACUGGUGUAUUUUUGCUGAUUAGGAGGACAACAAUUCUACUGCAGAGAUCUGCACGUCAGGCUCCUUGGCCAUCUCCUUAUUUGGAUGCUUUUGGUGAGGAGGAUACUGAAAUGCGUCGGGGAAAACCAUUGUAUUUGAAUGAAGAGCGUUAUGCUGCCCUAUCAUAUAUGGUUGCUUGUCAUGGCCUUGAUCGAAGUUCAAAGGUUCUAGGCCAGACUACAAUUGGGUCUAUCUUCAUGAUUUAAUCUGGAGUAUAUUUUGAGGUGAUUCCUUUGGCCAUUCACGGUUCAGAUUUUGCACUUACCUGUUAUAGUUCGUGCUUGAGUUCCUCGUCCUAGUUUGGCUAAUAGAAAAGUAUUCUACACCGUGAAGGCAUUGAUAGGGAUGUCGGAUACAGGUUGUGCAGUAGUUAUUGGUUUUCAAGAAUCCAUACUCCUACAGAAAGAGUUCUCGUCCACAAAUCUUUUCAGAGGUGAAAAAAUGACCCUUUUAUUUUCACAUAUAGGAGCCAAGAAGAUCCAGAGUGACUCAGAGGAUGUCAAAAAAUGCAUACUAUCACCUUUCCUUGAGCUGUGUGUUGGAAGUAGUGCGCUUGUACAUAGGGAUUAGGGAGGUCGAAGCAUUGUUUUGAAGUUGCCUUAAAUUUCUGGAUUAGGAUCGUUGGCAUCUUUCCAUUCAGAGGGUGGAGAUGGGAAUGGUGGUCAUUUUGUACUUGGUUAAAUCUGGCAGAAUCAAUUUGGAAUCAGUUUGUGGAAUUAUAAUGGAAGGAUUAAGAUCUCCAGAAAGAGAGACUGAGUUCUGCCCUUUUUUUUUCUUUUUUCUUUUUUCUUUUUAUAUGUAGUUUAAUGUUUAAACAAUUGUUAGAAGAAAUCGGCACAAUGAAGCUUCUAAAAGUACAUAGGGGAAAGUAGAAGUGAAAUUAAUUGUGCAUUUCUAGUCUACUCAAUUUUUUAUUUGUUAAAUCUUUAAUGUAAAAUAUCAACAUUCGCUUGUAUUUUUCUUGUCUUUUUAUUCGAACUCGAUCAUACAUCUCCAACUUUCUCCUUUUCA
RNA transcript from Benincasa hispida (wax gourd), 7431 nucleotides. It is a transcript of the gene named proteolysis 6, with no coding region annotated. The record is from RefSeq and is a predicted model, not a curated record. NCBI's taxonomy places the organism in Eukaryota, Viridiplantae, Streptophyta, Magnoliopsida, Cucurbitales, Cucurbitaceae.